RNAcentral lists this ribosomal RNA (435 nucleotides) under Triticum aestivum (bread wheat). RNAcentral's name for it is "partial small subunit ribosomal RNA". The record is from RNAcentral. Lineage: Eukaryota; Viridiplantae; Streptophyta; Magnoliopsida; Poales; Poaceae.
AUGGUUGAACAUUAUGGUGCAUUGGUUGAUCUCCUCGGCCGGGCUGGACAUUUGGAUCAGGCUAGGCAUGCCAUAGAGACAAUGCCCAUGGAACCAACUCCAGAAUUAUGGGGAUCUCUGCUUGCUGUCUACCAAAGUCAUAGGUUCGUUGAAUUGGCUAAGCUGUCGGUUGAACGCCUAGCAAGUCUUGGAGUUGAUGAUUCUGGAGUCUAUGUUCAUCUGUCUAAUAUCCAUGCUGAUGGAGGAAUGUGGGAUGGUGUCUUGAGGAUUAGGAGAUUGAUGAGUGCUGAAGGGAUGAAGAAGGACAUUGGAAGGAGUGUGAUUGAGGCGGAUGGACAAAUACACGAGUUUGUGAAUGGAAGCAGUUCACAUCCUGAUAAGGAUGAAAUUUACAUGAUGCUAUGGAAUUUAUCUAACAUGGUAGCAUCUUCUUGA